GACGAACGCUGGCGGCGUGCUUAACACAUGCAAGUCGAACGGAAAGGCCUUUUCGGAGGUACUCGAGUGGCGAACGGGUGAGUAACACGUGGGUGAUCUGCCCUGCACUCUGGGAUAAGCCUGGGAAACUGGGUCUAAUACCGGAUAGGACCGCACUUUAGCGUGUGUGGUGGAAAGUUUUUUCGGUGUAGGAUGAGCCCGCGGCCUAUCAGCUUGUUGGUGGGGUAAUGGCCUACCAAGGCGGCGACGGGUAGCCGGACUGAGAGGUUGGUCGGCCACAUUGGGACUGAGAUACGGCCCAGACUCCUACGGGGGGCAGCAGUGGGGAAUAUUGCACAAUGGGCGCAAGCCUGAUGCAGCGACGCCGCGUGGGGGAUGACGGCCUUCGGGUUGUAAACUCCUUUCGCCAGGGACGAAGCGUUUUGUGACGGUACCUGGAGAAGAAGCACCGGCUAACUACGUG
RNAcentral lists this ribosomal RNA (463 nucleotides) under uncultured bacterium. Its description in RNAcentral is "partial 16S ribosomal RNA". It matches the Rfam family "Bacterial small subunit ribosomal RNA", at positions 28 to 507 of the family's 1533-position model. The record is from RNAcentral.